UUAAAUGUAUUUUUCUGCGUAAGAGUUGCCAGUGAAUUUGCGCGUGGUUUGAGGUAUAUCUUCUAGUAUCAAUGUUUAAUUUUGCGCAGGAAAUAUGCGCUUGAUUUCAUUUAUGGUUAUUUCUGUAGCAGACGCAUAUUGCUAGACGGAUUAAACGAAUCAGUAUAUUGAUUUGUCUCCAUUUUCUUUGUCGACUGGAAUUAUAUUGUAAAGACUACAGGUAUGGAAGAGCCCGGGUUCUUAUGUUCUACUACGGUACUGAAGGCCCCAGGUUCGAAUUUCGGAGAAGACAUAGAUGUUUGGAAAUGUAUAGUGUCGGUGCGGGAUGUCCACUCUAAAUAUUCAGAGAACCGAAAAAGUCCUCUCAUGUGGAUUGGUGGAAGGAUCCUCCCGGGGUGCUCUCUCUCAAAAUUGGGGGUGGAAAAUAGAAGUCCAACCUUUCUUUGAAUUAGGCUCUGGUAACCACUGUUCCAUAUAAUAUGGACCCAAAAAAAAAAAAAAAAAACAUUAAAAGUUUUUAAUGUAAUUUUGUUUCCUACUUCCCGACCGUCUUUAGAAGAAUAAAUAUAAUUCCAAAGACA
Molecule: long non-coding RNA, 581 nt
Organism: Stegodyphus dumicola
Lineage: Eukaryota; Metazoa; Arthropoda; Arachnida; Araneae; Eresidae
Source: RefSeq, a predicted model, not a curated record